This 253-nucleotide ribosomal RNA is filed under the name uncultured bacterium. RNAcentral's name for it is "partial 16S ribosomal RNA". It matches the Rfam family "Bacterial small subunit ribosomal RNA", at positions 524 to 776 of the family's 1533-position model. The record is from RNAcentral.
UACGUAGGGGGCAAGCGUUGUCCGGAUUUAUUGGGCGUAAAGAGCGUGUAGGCGGCCAUUCAGGUCAGCUGUGAAAACUCGAGGCUCAACUUCGAGCUGUCGGUGGAAACUUUCUGGCUAGAGUCCGGAAGAGGAGAAUGGAAUUCCUGGUGUAGCGGUGAAAUGCGCAGAUAUCAGGAAGAACACCCGUGGCGAAGGCGGUUCUCUGGGACGGUACUGACGCUGAGACGCGAAAGCGUGGGGAGCGAACAGG